AUGCAUUCACAUAUAGAUAGCUUAUUUGCAUUGUUCAAAAAACUUUGUAGUCUCAAUGAUGAUGCAUACAUGUCAACGAUGGGUGCUGGCUCCAACAAUUCGCAUUGGUCUCAAACCAAUGACAUGCAUUUCGAAAACCAUGAGUUCGAGGUGGACGAGGAGGGUGAGGGCAUUGUCGACGCACCGAAAGGAAGAGCGGGCAAUUACACCAACGUCGAUGACAUCUUACUAUGCAAUACUUGGUUGCAAGUGUCGAGGGAUCCAUCCGUUGGAGGUGAUCAAAGUAGAGAUGCUUAUUGGGGGCGGAUGAAAGAACACUUUGAUGUUCACAACUUGAGUGGAAUUGACCGCUCCGAGAGAUCACUUCGGUCCCGAUGGUCGACAAUCAACUCGGAUUGUCAAAGGUGGGUGGCCUGUCAAAAGGCGGUUGACAAGUUGAACCCAAGUGGCACAAAUGAGGACGAUAGAGUAAGUGACAUUUCAUACAUGUUCAUCAUACUUGUUGUUGGUGCUAACUUGCUUUGUUUUCAUGUAGUACAGAAUUGCGCAAAACUUGUUCAAAGAAGAGGAGAGGACAACCAAGAAGGGGAAGAUCAAGAAAGGAAGGGUCUUUACCUUGCCCCAUUGCUAUAA
RNAcentral lists this ribosomal RNA (633 nucleotides) under Triticum aestivum (bread wheat). Its description in RNAcentral is "partial small subunit ribosomal RNA". The record is from RNAcentral. Lineage: Eukaryota; Viridiplantae; Streptophyta; Magnoliopsida; Poales; Poaceae.